Molecule: ribosomal RNA, 498 nt
Filed under: uncultured bacterium
Lineage: Bacteria
Description: bacterial SSU rRNA
Rfam family: Bacterial small subunit ribosomal RNA
Source: RNAcentral
AGAGUUUGAUUCUGGCUCAGGAUAAACGCUGGCGGCGUGCUUAACACAUUCAAGUCGAACGGACGAGGGGAGCUUGCUCCCCAAGUUAGUGGCGGACGGGUGAGUAACGCGUGAGCAACCUGCCUUUCUAAGCGGGAUAACAGAGGGAAACCGCUGCUAAUACCGCAUAACGUAUGAUGAACGCAUGUUCGACAUACCAAAGGAGCGAUCCGAAGAAAGAUGGGCUCGCGUCUGAUUAGAUAGUUGGUGAGGUAACGGCCCACCAAGUCUGCGAUCAGUAGCCGGACUGAGAGGUUGAACGGCCACAUUGGAACUGAGAAACGGUCCAGACUCCUACGGGAGGCAGCAGUGGGGAAUAUUGGGCAAUGGGCGAAAGCCUGACCCAAGCGACGCCGCGUGAGGGAAGAAGGUCUUCGGAUUGUAAACCUUUGUCAACAGGACGAAGCAAGUGACGGUACCUGUGGAGGAAGCCACGGCUAACUACGUGCCAGCAGCAGC